GCACGAACGUUGGAAACAGCGGUUAGGAGCUUACACCCACCCGUGUUUACAUACUAUUGUUGCUUUGGCGGGCCGUGGCCUCCACUGCGGGCUCUGCUCGUGUGUGUCCGCCAGAGGACCAAACUCUGAAUGUUAGUGAUGUCUGAGUACUAUCUAAUAGUUAAAACUUUCAACAACGGAUCUCUUGGUUCUGGCAUCGAUGAAGAACGCAGCGAAAUGCGAUAAGUAAUGUGAAUUGCAGAAUUCAGUGAAUCAUCGAAUCUUUGAACGCACAUUGCGCCCUGUGGUAUUCCGCAGGGCAUGCCUGUUCGAGCGUCAUUUAACCACUCAAGCCUAGCUUGGUAUUGGGGCACGCGGUCUCGCGGCCCUCAAAAUUAGUGGCGGUGCCGGUGGGCUCUAAGCGUAGUACAUACUCCCGCUAUAGAGUUCCCCCGGUGGCUCGCCAGAACCCCCAAUUUUUACAGGUUGACCUCGG
This 475-nucleotide ribosomal RNA is filed under the name Phialocephala fortinii. Its description in RNAcentral is "partial contains internal transcribed spacer 1, 5.8S ribosomal RNA, internal transcribed spacer 2 and large subunit ribosomal RNA". The stretch from base 165 to 318 matches the Rfam family "5.8S ribosomal RNA". Lineage: Eukaryota; Fungi; Ascomycota; Leotiomycetes; Helotiales; Mollisiaceae. The record is from RNAcentral.